This 253-nucleotide ribosomal RNA is filed under the name uncultured bacterium. RNAcentral's name for it is "partial 16S ribosomal RNA". It matches the Rfam family "Bacterial small subunit ribosomal RNA", at positions 524 to 776 of the family's 1533-position model. The record is from RNAcentral.
UACAGAGGGUGCAAGCGUUAAUCGGAAUGACUGGGCGUAAAGGGCAUGUAGGUGGCUGUUUAAGUUGACUGUGAAAUUUCUGGGCUUAACCUGGGAGCUGCAGUCAAAACUGGAUGGCUAGAGUCUGGGAGAGGGAAGUGGAAUUUCCGGUGUAGCGGUGAAAUGCGUAGAUAUCGGAAAGAACAUCAAUGGCGAAGGCAACUUCCUGGCCUAAGACUGACACUGAGGUGCGAAAGCGUGGGGAGCAAACAGG